GGGCGCGUAGCUCAGUUGGUUAGAGCACUACCUUCACACGGUAGGGGUCCACGGUUCGAGUCCGUGCGCGCCCACCA
RNAcentral lists this transfer RNA (77 nucleotides) under Verrucomicrobia bacterium ADurb.Bin474. RNAcentral's name for it is "tRNA-Val". It matches the Rfam family "tRNA". Rfam says of the family: Transfer RNA (tRNA) molecules are approximately 80 nucleotides in length. Their secondary structure includes four short double-helical elements and three loops (D, anti-codon, and T loops). Further hydrogen bonds mediate the characteristic L-shaped molecular structure. tRNAs have two regions of fundamental functional importance: the anti-codon, which is responsible for specific mRNA codon recognition, and the 3' end, to which the tRNAs corresponding amino acid is attached (by aminoacyl-tRNA synthetases). tRNAs cope with the degeneracy of the genetic code in two manners: having more than one tRNA (with a specific anti-codon) for a particular amino acid; and 'wobble' base-pairing, i.e. permitting non-standard base-pairing at the 3rd anti-codon position. The record is from RNAcentral. Lineage: Bacteria; Pseudomonadati; Verrucomicrobiota. RNAcentral also lists the same sequence under 1 other name.